RNAcentral lists this ribosomal RNA (397 nucleotides) under uncultured bacterium. RNAcentral describes it as "partial 16S ribosomal RNA". It matches the Rfam family "Bacterial small subunit ribosomal RNA", at positions 338 to 732 of the family's 1533-position model. The record is from RNAcentral.
CCUACGGGUGGCUGCAGUGAGGAAUAUUGGUCAAUGGACGGAAGGCUGAACCAGCCAAGCCGCGUGCAGGAAGAAGGCUCCAAGCAUUGUAAACUUCUUUUGUCAGGGGACAAACUCAGGCACGCGAACCUGACUGAAGGUACCUGAAGAAUAAGCAUCGGCUAACUCCGUGCCAGCAGCCGCGGUAAUACGGAGGAUUCGAGCGUUAUCCGGAUUUAUUGGGUUUAAAGGGUGCGUAGGCGGGAGGAUAAGUUAGGGGUGAAAUCCCGAGGCUCAACCUCGGGAGUGCGUUUGAAACUGGCUGGCUUGAGAGGAGGAGAGGUAGGCGGAAUGCGUGGUGUAGCGGUGAAAUGCUUAGAUAUCAUGCAGAACACCGAUUGCGAAGGCAGCUUACCGG